UAGGGAAUUUUGCGCAAUGGACGAAAGUCUGACGCAGCAACGCCGCGUGAAGGAUGAAGGCCCUCGGGUUGUAAACUUCUGUUGGAUGGGAAAAAAAGCCGCAAGGUCUUGAUGGUACCAUUCGAGUAAGCACCGGCUAACUCCGUGCCAGCAGCCGCGGUAAUACGUAGGGUGCAAGCGUUGUUCGGAAUCACUGGGCGUAAAGAGAGCGUAGGCGGGAUUGUAAGUUAGGAGUUUAAUGCAUGGGCUUAACCCAUGAUCUGCUUUUAAUACUGCAGUUCUUGAGUAUGGGAGAGGGUGAUGGAAUUCCAGGUGUAGCGGUGGAAUGCGUAGACAUCUGGAAGAACACCAGUAGCGAAGGCGGUCGCCUGGCCCAAUACUGACGCUGAGGCUCGAAAGCUAGGGGAGCAAACAGG
RNAcentral lists this ribosomal RNA (416 nucleotides) under uncultured prokaryote. Its description in RNAcentral is "bacterial SSU rRNA". It matches the Rfam family "Bacterial small subunit ribosomal RNA", at positions 355 to 776 of the family's 1533-position model. The record is from RNAcentral. RNAcentral also lists the same sequence under 1 other name.